AGUCGACGGUGAGAGGAGCUUGCUUCUUGGAUCAGUGGCGAACGGGUGAGUAACACGUGAGCAAUCUGCCCUUGACUCUGGGAUAACUGCGGGAAACUGUAGCUAAUACCGGAUAUUACCUUGGAAGGCAUCUUCUGGGGUGGAAAGAAUUUUGGUCAAGGAUGAGCUCGCGGCCUAUCAGCUAGUUGGUGAGGUAAUGGCUCACCAAGGCGACGACGGGUAGCCGGCCUGAGAGGGUGACCGGCCACACUGGGACUGAGACACGGCCCAGACUCCUACGGGAGGCAGCAGUGGGGAAUAUUGCACAAUGGGCGCAAGCCUGAUGCAGCAACGCCGCGUGAGGGACGAAGGCCUUCGGGUUGUAAACCUCUUUUAGUAGGGAAGAAGCGACUGGGUUUUCCUGGGAGUGACGGUACCUGCAGAAAAAGCACCGGCUAACUACGUGCCAGCAGCCGCGGUAAUACGUAGGGUGCAAGCGUUGUCCGGAAUUAUUGGGCGUAAAGAGCUCGUAGGCGGUUUGUCGCGUCUGCUGUGAAAACCCGAGGCUCAACCUCGGGCCUGCAGUGGGUACGGGCAGACUAGAGUGCGGUAGGGGAGAUUGGAAUUCCUGGUGUAGCGGUGGAAUGCGCAGAUAUCAGGAGGAACACCAAUGGCGAAGGCAGAUCUCUGGGCCGUAACUGACGCUGAGGAGCGAAAGCAUGGGGAGCGA
This 709-nucleotide ribosomal RNA is filed under the name uncultured bacterium. RNAcentral describes it as "bacterial SSU rRNA". It matches the Rfam family "Bacterial small subunit ribosomal RNA", at positions 60 to 771 of the family's 1533-position model. The record is from RNAcentral.